Molecule: long non-coding RNA, 222 nt
Filed under: Bos taurus (domestic cattle)
Lineage: Eukaryota; Metazoa; Chordata; Mammalia; Artiodactyla; Bovidae
Description: long non-coding RNA NONBTAT016585
Source: RNAcentral
GGUAGGAAUUAAUUUCAUAAGUAAGAAACAGUAACCAAAGCUCAUAAAGGAAAAGAAUAACAAUUUUGACCAUACUGAAAUGACAACCUUCUGAUAAGUAAACAAUUUAAAAGACAAGUAGAAGAAUCUGUAUGUAACACUUCAAAAUAUUCAUAUUCAGAAAAAACUGAAGCAUCUUCUAAGAUAAUAAGAAAAGGCAAAUAUACUUAUGGGAAAAUGGGC